UACGAAGGGUGCAAACGUUGCUCGGAAUUAUUGGGCGUAAAGCGCACGUAGGCGGCUUGGCAAGUCGGAUGUGAAAUCCCUCGGCUCAACCAAGGAAGUACAUCCGAAACUGCUGAGCUUGAGUACUUAAGAGGAUCGCGGAAUUCCCGGUGUAGAGGUGAAAUUCGUAGAUAUCGGGAGGAACACCAGUGGCGAAGGCGGCUACCUGGACCGGUUCUGACGCUGAUGCGCGAAAGCGUGGGUAGCAAACAGG
This 253-nucleotide ribosomal RNA is filed under the name uncultured bacterium. RNAcentral's name for it is "partial 16S ribosomal RNA". It matches the Rfam family "Bacterial small subunit ribosomal RNA", at positions 524 to 776 of the family's 1533-position model. The record is from RNAcentral.